Molecule: ribosomal RNA, 650 nt
Filed under: uncultured bacterium
Lineage: Bacteria
Description: bacterial SSU rRNA
Rfam family: Bacterial small subunit ribosomal RNA
Source: RNAcentral
GAGCGGCGAACGGGUGAGUAAUACAUCGGAACGUGUCCCGUAGUGGGGGAUAGCUCGGCGAAAGCCGGAUUAAUACCGCAUACGAUCACGGAUGAAAGCGGGGGACCGCAAGGCCUCGCGCUAUGGGAGCGGCCGAUGUCCGAUUAGCUUGUUGGUGAGGUAAAGGCUCACCAAGGCAACGAUCGGUAGCUGGUCUGAGAGGAUGAUCAGCCACACUGGGACUGAGACACGGCCCAGACUCCUACGGGAGGCAGCAGUGGGGAAUUUUGGACAAUGGGGGAAACCCUGAUCCAGCCAUGCCGCGUGAGUGAAGAAGGCCUUCGGGUUGUAAAGCUCUUUUGGCCGGAAAGAAAAGGUCGCGGAUAACACCUGCGAUUUUUGACGGUACCGGCAGAAUAAGCACCGGCUAACUACGUGCCAGCAGCCGCGGUAAUACGUAGGGUGCGAGCGUUAAUCGGAAUUACUGGGCGUAAAGCGUGCGUAGGCGGUUCCGCAAGUCCGCUGUGAAAUCCCCGGGCUUAACCUGGGAAUGGCAGUGGAAACUAUGGGACUUGAAUCCGGCAGAGGGGGGUGGAAUGCCACGUGUAGCAGUGAAAUGCGUAGAGAUGUGGCGGAACACCGAUGGCGAAGGCAGCCCCCUGGGCCGAGAU